This 429-nucleotide ribosomal RNA is filed under the name Verrucomicrobiota bacterium. RNAcentral describes it as "Verrucomicrobia bacterium partial 16S ribosomal RNA". It matches the Rfam family "Bacterial small subunit ribosomal RNA", at positions 355 to 776 of the family's 1533-position model. The record is from RNAcentral. Lineage: Bacteria; Pseudomonadati; Verrucomicrobiota.
UAGGGAAUCUUCCGCAAUGGACGAAAGUCUGACGGAGCAACGCCGCGUGAGUGAAGAAGGAUUUCGGUUCGUAAAACUCUGUUGUUAGGGAAGAAAAAAUGUAUAGUAACUAUAUACAAAAGAGACGGUACCUAACCAGAAAGCCACGGCUAACUACGUGCCAGCAGCCGCGGUAAUACGUAGGUGGCAAGCGUUGUCCGGAAUUAUUGGGCGUAAAGCGCGCGCAGGUGGUUUAGAAAGUCUGAUGUGAAAGCCCACGGCUCAACCGUGGAGGGUCAUUGGAAACUAAUAAACUUGAGUGCAGGAGAGGCAAGUGGAAUUCCUAGUGUAGCGGUGAAAUGCGUAGAGAUUAGGAGGAACACCGGUGGCGAAAGCGGCUUUUUGGCCUGCAACUGACACUGAGGCGCGAAAGCGUGGGGAGCAAACAGG